Molecule: unclassified non-coding RNA, 1210 nt
Filed under: Hevea brasiliensis (rubber tree)
Lineage: Eukaryota; Viridiplantae; Streptophyta; Magnoliopsida; Malpighiales; Euphorbiaceae
Source: RNAcentral
ACAAAAAUAUGAACCCGUAAGAUUUCAGUUUCAGAAUAAUGUCUGGCAUAACUUUGACAUAUUAAUUUAGUUGCAAAAAAGAUUAAAAGUUGUUUAAAAAGGUAGCAGGGAGUAUAUCAUUUACUUCUUAGAACCAUCAAAUGAGUUGUACAACAGCUGCUACGCGAAGUGCUCCAUUUUGGAGAAGGUCAGAUACUUCAUCAAACAACAGGGCCGAGCGCCAGCCCCAUCCUUUGGGAGCUUUUGGCAGAAGAGUUCCAGUUUGUUUGAAGCUACCAAACACCAUCACUUCUCUCUUUGAAGGAAAGAUCAACUGAUAUCUAGCAGUAACUUUUUCACGGGAAUCGACAUACAUAUGCACCUUUCUAACUGGAUCAGCUAUUUCUGCCUUCCUACGAUGAAGAAAUAGCCCAAGUGUUCGACGUCCCUGAGGGUCUUCAUCACUGAAAGCCUGAACACUAACCUUCCAUAACGAACCAGCAUAAAAAAAUUCUUGAGAGUGUUUAACUUGGCCAUCAUUAAGCCUGAGAACAUCAUGAAACUCAACCCCGAACCGAAAGGGGGGAAAGUGACUUAAAGGAGUUUUCAUAUCCAGUGAUAUAGCAGUACUUCCAUUCUCCCACUCUAUUCCCAUUGCAUGUUCAGACGAGCCUGGCAUCUGGGGAGAAAUACUGCUUGAACUUGGGCCAACAGUUGAUGGUAUUUCCGGUCUGCUUUGCAGUUCUGUCUCAAAUCCCCUAUCAACAUGAAUAUUAGCACUAUUGCUUCCUUCUUGGCUGAGCCCAACCAGAGCAGUUAGUCCAUCUCCAGCAAGAUCCCCGCUCUGUUCUGCUCUAUUUUCUGGGUCAUCAUUGGCAGGAGAUUGCUGACAGUUCCGGUUGCCCAUACCAAGUGGUACACGAGAGAAAACAAAACGAGUUGGAGGCCAAGCAACUGCAGGCACAAAUGUAGAUCCACGUCCAAUACCAGCUAGACCAUCAUUGGGGCCCCUAACAUGAACCCGAACAGGCCUAAACAUGCCACUUCCUUCCCUGUGAGGCGAGUCAGUGGCAUACAUAUUUCCUAUAUUGUUGGAUGGAUUGCUCUGAUCAUGAUCUGACAUGUAAUAUCCAGUAGCUGCGACUCCACGCGAAUUUCCAAAUGGCUGCCGACAAGCACAUGCCAUGCUCACAAGGCAGCAACUUUUGCAAGUGUCAGCACCAAUUUCCUG